This 433-nucleotide ribosomal RNA is filed under the name uncultured bacterium. Its description in RNAcentral is "partial 16S ribosomal RNA". It matches the Rfam family "Bacterial small subunit ribosomal RNA", at positions 29 to 507 of the family's 1533-position model. The record is from RNAcentral.
AAUGAACGCUGGCGGCAGGCCUAACACAUGCCAGUCGAGCGAGCAUUUCGGUGCUAGCGGCGGACGGGUGAGUAACGCGUGGGAACGUGCCCUUUUCUGCGGAAUAGUCCUGGGAAACUGGGGGUAAUACCGCAUACGCCCUUUUGGGGAAAGAUUUAUCGGAGAAGGAUCGGCCCGCGUUGGAUUAGGUAGUUGGUGGGGUAAUGGCCCACCAAGCCGACGAUCCAUAGCUGGUUUGAGAGGAUGAUCAGCCACACUGGGACUGAGACACGGCCCAGACUCCUACGGGAGGCAGCAGUGGGGAAUCUUAGACAAUGGGGGCAACCCUGAUCGAGCCAUGCCGCGUGAGUGAUGAAGGCCUUAGGGUUGUAAAGCUCUUUCAGCUGGGAAGAUAAUGACGGUACCAGCAGAAGAAGCCCCGGCUAACUCCGUG